Oncorhynchus keta (chum salmon) is the source of this 546-nucleotide long non-coding RNA. RefSeq lists it as uncharacterized. The record is from RefSeq and is a predicted model, not a curated record. NCBI's taxonomy places the organism in Eukaryota, Metazoa, Chordata, Actinopteri, Salmoniformes, Salmonidae. The transcript is spliced from 4 exons.
CCCACUAGAAUCAACACUCAGAUAUACCACUGGUGUUAACCCCACUAGAAUCAACACUCAGAUAUACCACUGGUGUUAACCCCACUAGAAUCAACACUCAGAUAUACCACUGGUGUUAACCCCACUAGAAUCAACACUCAGAUAUAACACUGGUGUUAACCCCACUAUAAUCAACACUCAGAUAUAACACUGGUGUUAACCCCACUAGAAUCAACACUCAGAUAUAACACUGGUGUUAACCCCACUAGAAUCAACACUCAGAUAGAACCAUGGUGUUAACCCCACUAGAAUCAACACUCAGAUAGAACCAUGGUGUUAACCCCACUAGAAUCAACACUCAGAUAGAACCAUGGUGUUAACCCCACUAGAAUCAACACUCAGAUAUACCACUGGUGUUAACCCCACUAGAAUCAACACUCAGAUAGAACCAUGGUAUUAACCCCACUAUAAUCAACACUCAGAUAUACCACUGGUGUUAACCCCACUAGAAUCAACACUCAGAUAUACCACUGGUAUUAACCCCACUAGAAUCAACACUCAGAUAGA